Molecule: non-coding RNA, 720 nt
Organism: Python bivittatus (Burmese python)
Lineage: Eukaryota; Metazoa; Chordata; Lepidosauria; Squamata; Pythonidae
Source: RefSeq, a predicted model, not a curated record
AAGCCAGCUGCAAAGAUGGAGGAGAAGAGGAAAAGAAGGAGGUGGUUGUGGUUAUGAAGGGUUGCCGUGGCAGGACAGCCGGUUAUAGUUUUCUUUUUGGAGAGGGGAGGGGGGGUCAGGAAGAAAUCGGUCUGGGGUAGGCCGGGCCCAGUAAUUGCAGCUUCCCAUCCUGCACGCACAUCUGCAAGGAAAGCAGCAGCAGCAGCAGGAACGCGCCAUUUUUCCCCGAUCUCCUUCCAGGGCUCCCAAGAAGGAUUUCCCUUUCUCUUCAAGGGAUGUCCCUACAGCAUUGGCUAAACAGCAUUUGACCUUUCUGGCUACCAGUCCCCAUCCUUAAGGUGAAGGCUACCAUAGGUCCAGCUCUGAAAACCACUGCCUUCUCCUCCCUGAUUUUUCAUCAAUCAGCCACUUACUAAGAAGGAAAACAUGAGUUCCAAGAAUGAAUCAGAUGGAGUUUCUGGACGUGAGCCAUCAUUGGAACUCCUGUCACGGGCACAGAUCCAUGCCAUACCUGUGGCAGGAUUGGUCUACACACACAGCAAAAUGCGGUGGGAAUGAGGCAGUAGAAUGGACUGUACCACUUCAGACUACAGGUGGGAGUUCACAUUUCUGAAUGCAUUUUAAAACCAAAAACAAAGCCCAAGCUUUCCUUUCAGGUAGGAAACUUAACAAGAAAUAGAAUGGCCAAGAAUUUCCAUAAGUGAUAGCUUCUUACUUGUA